Molecule: ribosomal RNA, 309 nt
Filed under: Triticum aestivum (bread wheat)
Lineage: Eukaryota; Viridiplantae; Streptophyta; Magnoliopsida; Poales; Poaceae
Description: partial small subunit ribosomal RNA
Source: RNAcentral
AUGGCGUUCUGCAAGGACUUCAAUACCAGGACGCACAAGUACAAGGCGGAGACUCCGAUGCAAGCCACGCUGACCGUCUACAUGGACAGCACCAGCCGGCCGGGCCACAGCAUGGUGAGAGCAUCUCCGGCGGCGCCAGCGGGGAAAAAACGCCUGGGAAAAGCCUGUUGGGGUGCGGGUGAAGAUGCUGUGAUGUCCCUCUCGCUGCGCCACGUCUACGAGAUCGCCAAGCUGAAGCAGGCUGACCCCUUGCAAUCCAUCAUCGGCACGCCCAAGUCCAUGGGCAUCGAAAUUGUCAAGGAUCUCUGA